RNAcentral lists this long non-coding RNA (2294 nucleotides) under Acanthaster planci (crown-of-thorns starfish). RNAcentral's name for it is "uncharacterized LOC110975100". Lineage: Eukaryota; Metazoa; Echinodermata; Asteroidea; Valvatida; Acanthasteridae. The record is from RNAcentral.
UGCUGUGAGGAGUUCCUGCAUACUAUGCAACCGUGCUGUUGUGUUGCGUCAGAAUCUGCUGAAGCUGUGACUGCUGAUUUUCUGCUGAUGUACCGGUGUCUUGCCUAGAUCCUGUGUUAUUUAACUAAUGUUCCUGUUCCUGAUUUGUUACCGACGUGCCUGUGUUUACUACCCAUCUUUGUUUUGUCCCUGAUGAUGUCCUGAGUCUCCUUGCUCCAAGAAGUGUUCAACAUGUUCAACAAGGUUCCAGCCAUUGAACAUUGUGACAACCCACCUGACCCAACUUGCCACCUUGAUUAGAUCAGAAAUUACUUCGUUGACCGAGGAGGAUUCAUCUGAAAUUUGAUGCUAAAAGACAUUUGAUCUUUAUCUGAUUGAACAUUUAAUUAUGAAACUAUAUCGGACAUUGAUUUUAAAAUUAUGUGCUGAGGUUUAUUCAAGAACGUGUUACAUUUACAUUGUACAUGUGCCUCUCUGUUUUGAUUAAGAUGAACACUAGACAGCCUUGCUUGCCAUUCAGAAGCCUUUGCCAUUAGUUAAAAACAUGAGUUCAAAAGAUAGUGGAACGCAGUCUUCUGUUGAUCUGUAGUGAUUGAUAGCCAAGCUUUAUUUCAUAUUGUUUAACCUUCACUUAUGAGACGCCUCUUCCUAUGGAAGUUGCAUCUGGGAGGAGGGAGUGUAACGGGACAAUUUACCAGUCUAUGUAGAAUUGCAUUAUGGGAAGGCAAGUCUCAUGGCUUGUCAAGAUGGCUCCAGUGAGUUGAUCAUUUAUUGGAAUACAUGUAAAUGUGAUUGUUGUUGAUUGUAAUUUAUGAGCCUCUGCUGAUGUUUCUCAUUCCCACAUCGCCAUUCGAACCUGUGGUGACGGUAGACGCCGAUACAGGACAUGCACAUCCGGGACAUCAUGUACAUGUACAUUACAGACCUACAUGAUCAAUGAUCAUGCAUGCCAUGUACCUGACAUGCCUGGCCCAUACGUAUUCAUCAUAACAGGUACACGCAACUUAUGACAUUUCCUAUUUUGCCACCACACAAAACCCAAUAUAUUCAAAUGCUGAUUUCUUCAAAAUAUUCAGUAAAAAUUAGUCAUGACAGACAAUAAGAAGCUUACAGAGUUACAUGUGAAUCAAAAUAUUCUGCAGAAAUCAUCCGUUUGUACAUUUUAAUUGUCUGAAUUUGGGAGGUGAAUUUUCUGUCAGGAGUCCCAGUGUACAUGUACAUCCAUUGUGAGUUUAACAUGUUAAAUUUGACUUUGACGCAAUCUGACCCAAAUCUCGUUUUCUUUCAAAUGCUCUCACAAAUUAAACUCUAGAGGGCAGCAAACACAACAAAUUGUCAGAGAAAGGUUCAGGGUGCCUUUUCUGCUUUUUUUCAAGGAGAAAAUGGUCCAGUCCGUGGUCAUCCUUCAUUCCACAACAUCCAGUAUGACGGCGAUGAUGAAAAAUUCACAGCAUCAAGUCACAAGAUGGAAUGGCUACUUCGCCUUGUCUCCUCCAACUCAUUGAUAAAUGGCUGUCUAUUCUUCCUGAUGAAUUCGAGGAUGAAGAAAAGCAGGAAAGGUCAGCCUUGUAAUCGAAUGCACCCUACCGGUAUACGCCUGCAUUGCAUUGGCACACUUUGAUGCUGGACCCCACACCUGCAUACACACCUGGCAGCUGGCAAUCAGUUAAGAGAUGACUGGACGAUGGAGACAUGCAAGUCUGGAUAUGACAUCAUGCACAUGUACAUGUAAUUGACACCUGCUAACCCUUCUGAUUUGAUAGCAAUUAGGCAGCUGUGGUGGCUUCACCCUCCACCCAUGAAAUGGAAAAAAAGAGGAUCAAGCCCCUUAUUGUCAUAAUAUCUGCUCUUGCAACAUUGAUGAAGGUCCAAGCAAGACGGUCAGAUGGUGGAAUCAAAAAAGGCCAGCAGUCUACAACUCUUAGAAGAGGAGUUUAAACAAAUAGGAAAGUCGCAGUAAGUUAACCAAAAAAGUCUGAUGGAAAUGCGCCUCGUGAUGCACUGGGCAAUCAACAGCAGCCAAACGAGCUGGUCAUGUUGAGACAAUGGGAGCUGGUCUCCUUGAACAAUGCCACUGUUGGAUCUUGUGGUGACUGGUAACCAAAGACUCCUAGGCUGUUUGGCUUUGAGGAGAGUUGACCUGUAGGAUCUUGUUACACUUGACUUUGACAAAUGAUGCAGACUGAUGUGUCUGGCGGGGUUUCUAGCUAAACUACCCUGAACAGUUAGGGUUAAUAUACUGUGCUUGUUUAAUUAUGAAAAUGGCUUUGAAAUCAUUCCUAUUAAUUGACAGA